RNAcentral lists this ribosomal RNA (256 nucleotides) under uncultured bacterium. Its description in RNAcentral is "partial 16S ribosomal RNA". It matches the Rfam family "Bacterial small subunit ribosomal RNA", at positions 524 to 776 of the family's 1533-position model. The record is from RNAcentral.
UACGUAGGGGGCAAGCGUUGUCCGGAUUUAUUGGGCGUAAAGAGCGUGUAGGCGGCCAUACAGGUCAGCUGUGAAAACUCGAGGCUCAACCUCGAGACGUCGGUUGAAACCGUAUGGCUAGAGUCCGGAAGAGGAGAGUGGAAUUCCCGGUGUAGCGGUGAAAUGCGCCAGAUAUCGGGGAAGAACACCCGUGGCGAAGGCGGCUCUCUGGGACGGUACUGACGCUGAGACGCGAAAAGCGUGGGGAGCGAACAGG